Callithrix jacchus (white-tufted-ear marmoset) is the source of this 810-nucleotide long non-coding RNA. RefSeq lists it as uncharacterized. The record is from RefSeq and is a predicted model, not a curated record. NCBI's taxonomy places the organism in Eukaryota, Metazoa, Chordata, Mammalia, Primates, Cebidae.
AGGAAGCAGGGUAAAAAGGCUCCCCAGUGCGUUUACCUGCUGGCCAUGGGUCCCUGUGCGGGCAGUAGCUUGGGAAGUGGCCCAGGAGUGCAAGUGGUUCUGGCGGGGGUCAAUAUGGCAACGAGAGGGCAGGGGAACUAACGGCAGCCCAGCAACGGCUGUGAACAGGGCUUUUAAACUGACAUGGCAAGCUGCUUUUUUCCUCAGCUGGUGCGGCUCUGAGGGAAAGGAAGCGGCCAAAGCUGCUGCUAGCCAUCAGCCCUGCUCGGCUUUUAGGCAGGCCAUGUCACCUCAGGGUGCAGCAUUCUCAUUCAAAAUACGGCUUAAGGAAACUUUCUGCCAUCCCUUGAUGUAAAGAUAAUAUGUGACUGCAGAGAUUUAACCUAAUGGGAGUAGACAACAUGUGAAUCUUACUGAUAUUGAACUAUUGGAGCCAAGAUUAAAAUGCUGAAUUACAUUUAAAAUAUCAAUUGCAUGAUUGCUUUCAAAACCAUUUCUCCAAAAUCUACCCACUCAAGUGAAGCCUUGGGAAAUGGGAGGAAAAAAGGAAGAAUCUCACCAUCACUACAUGGGUAUUUCUUCAAGUUUUGACUUUCUUCACUCAUCAAUCACUUAAUGUUUAUUUUCGAGAGUCCUUUGGGAGUUUAUAUUUGUAAUCUGUUGGCAGAUUUUAGUCAGAGAAAGUUAGAAAGAAAACUUGAAGUGGAAUAAAUUUGUCUUGGCUUGUAGUAAAAUUCUUACUAACGUCCUAUUUUUAAAAUAUUUAUUUAAUAUAGUUUAGCUUUAUAGAAAUUCAACUAAUAUACAAAU